This 66-nucleotide transfer RNA is filed under the name Cilnia humeralis. RNAcentral describes it as "tRNA-Gly". The record is from RNAcentral. Lineage: Eukaryota; Metazoa; Arthropoda; Insecta; Mantodea; Mantidae.
AUUUAUUUAGUAUAAAAAGUACAUUUAAUUUCCAAUUAAAAAGACUAUACUUAUCUAGAAUAAAUA